Molecule: ribosomal RNA, 441 nt
Filed under: uncultured bacterium
Lineage: Bacteria
Description: partial 16S ribosomal RNA
Rfam family: Bacterial small subunit ribosomal RNA
Source: RNAcentral
CUACGGGUUGCAGCAGUCAAGAAUCUUCCUCAAUGGACGAAAGUCUGAAGGAGCGACGCCGCGUGUAUGAAGAAGCUCUUCGGAGUGUAAAGUACUUUUAUCAGGGAUGAAACAAUGACAGUACCUGAUGAAUAAGGGGCUGCUAACCUCGUGCCAGCAGCAGCGGUAAUACGAGGGCCCCAAGCGUUAUCCGGAUUUAUUGGGCGUAAAGCGUCCGUAGGCGGUUUAUCACAUCUCCUGUUAAAUCUCGAGGCUCAACCUCGAGCCAGCAGGAGAGAUGGGUAGACUAGAGAUCGGAAGAGGCAAACGGAAUUGCUGGUGUAGGGGUUAAAUCCAUUAAUAUCAGCAGGAACACCAAAUGCGUAGGCAGUUUGCUAGGACGAAUCUGACGCUCAGGGACGAAAGCGUGGGGAGCGAAUGGGAUUAGAUACCCUGGUAGUC